UGAAUCACCAGUGUGGGCCUUGUGCACC
This 28-nucleotide non-coding RNA is filed under the name Mus musculus (house mouse). Lineage: Eukaryota; Metazoa; Chordata; Mammalia; Rodentia; Muridae. The record is from RNAcentral.